Molecule: ribosomal RNA, 253 nt
Filed under: uncultured bacterium
Lineage: Bacteria
Description: partial 16S ribosomal RNA
Rfam family: Bacterial small subunit ribosomal RNA
Source: RNAcentral
UACGUAGGGUGCGAGCGCUGUCCGGAAUUAUUGGGCGUAAAGAGCUCGUAGGCGGUCUGUUACGUCUGCUGUGAAAACCCGGGGCUUAACCCUGGGCUUGCAGUGGAUACGGGCAGACUAGAGGCAGGUAGGGGAGAAUGGAAUUCCCGGUGUAGCGGUGAAAUGCGCAGAUAUCGGGAGGAACGCCGGUGGCGGAGGCGGUUCUCUGGGCCUGACCUGACGCUGAGGAGCGAAAGCGUGGGGAGCGAACAGG